GGUGAGUAAUGCCUAGGAAUCUGCCUGGUAGUGGGGGACAACGUUUCGAAAGGAACGCUAAUACCGCAUACGUCCUACGGGAGAAAGCAGGGGACCUUCGGGCCUUGCGCUAUCAGAUGAGCCUAGGUCGGAUUAGCUUGUUGGUGAGGUAAUGGCUCACCAAGGCGACGAUCCGUAACUGGUCUGAGAGGAUGAUCAGUCACACUGGAACUGAGACACGGUCCAGACUCCUACGGGAGGCAGCAGUGGGGAAUAUUGGACAAUGGGCGAAAGCCUGAUCCAGCCAUGCCGCGUGUGUGAAGAAGGUCUUCGGAUUGUAAAGCACUUUAAGUUGGGAGGAAGGGUUGUAGAUUAAUACUCUGCAAUUUUGACGUUACCGACAGAAUAAGCACCGGCUAACUCUGUGCCAGCAGCCGCGGUAAUACAGAGGGUGCAAGCGUUAAUCGGAAUUACUGGGCGUAAAGCGCGCGUAGGUGGUUUGUUAAGUUGGAUGUGAAAGCCCCGGGCUCAACCUGGGAACUGCAUCCAAAACUGGCAAGCUAGAGUACGGUAGAGGGUGGUGGAAUUUCCUGUGUAGCGGUGAAAUGCGUAGAUAUAGGAAGGAACACCAGUGGCGAAGGCGACCACCUGGACUGAUACUGACACUGAGGUGCGAAAGCGUGGGGAGCAAACAGGAUUAGAUACCCUGGUAGUCCACGCCGUAAACGAUGUCAACUAGCCGUUGGAAUCCUUGAGAUUUUAGUGGCGCAGCUAACGCAUUAAGUUGACCGCCUGGGGAGUACGGCCGCAAGGUUAAAACUCAAAUGAAUUGACGGGGGCCCGCACAAGCGGUGG
Molecule: ribosomal RNA, 834 nt
Filed under: uncultured bacterium
Lineage: Bacteria
Description: bacterial SSU rRNA
Rfam family: Bacterial small subunit ribosomal RNA
Source: RNAcentral